RNAcentral lists this ribosomal RNA (304 nucleotides) under uncultured bacterium. Its description in RNAcentral is "bacterial SSU rRNA". It matches the Rfam family "Bacterial small subunit ribosomal RNA", at positions 22 to 358 of the family's 1533-position model. The record is from RNAcentral.
GCUCAGAACGAACGCUGGCGGCGUGCUUCACCAUGCAAGUCGAACGAACCUUCGGGUUAGUGGCGGACGGGUGAGUAACGCGUGAGAAUCUGCCCUCAGGAGGGGGAUAACGGUUGGAAACGACCGCUAAUACCCCAUAUGCCGAGAGGUGAAAAGAAAUUCGCCUGAGGAUGAGCUCGCGUCUGAUUAGCUAGUUGGUGUGGUAAUGGCGCACCAAGGCUUCGAUCAGUAGCUGGUCUGAGAGGAUGAUCAGCCACACUGGGACUGAGACACGGCCCAGACUCCUACGGGAGGCAGCAGUGGG